AAGGGCACCACAAGAACGCGUGGAGCAUGUGGCUUAAUUUGAUUCAACGCGGGGAACCUUACCGGGUCCGGACACACUGAGGAUUGACAGGCGAAAAAAUUAUGCUAGUCCUUUCAUGAUUGUGUGAUAGGUGGUGCAUGGCCGUUCUUAGUUCGUGGAGUGAUCUGUCUGCUUAAUUGCGCUUCAGAUUUAAUGGUUUACUUUGAUUACUCUAAGUUAUUCUUUGAAUUUCUAUUGUUUUCAAGUAUUCCUAUGAAAGCAACGAACGUGACCGAGUCUCCUUGUUACCUUUCUUAUUAUCUUUAUGACAAUAUAAAAGGCAAACUAGGGGGACUGCAAGGGUUUUUCACCCUGAGGAAGGACUCGGCAAUAACAGGUCUGUGAUGCCCUUAGAUGUUCCGGGCUGCACACGUGCUACAAUGAUUACCACACCGUGCAUCUCUGGAUAUUAUUGAACAUGAUUAUACUUGUAUAUGAUUGUUCCACAAUGAAUAUUAAUCUUUUUUGAUUAAUUGAAAUUGUGUGCCCUACCUCGACAGUGCGGUAGGCAAUCAAUUCCAAAUGGUAACAUCCCUCGCGCACAAAUCAAGUUGAGUGUUGUAUUGACUCUUUGAUGAUAUACUCAUUCACUGUGCUCCAUUUUAACUCGUGGUCGGGACUGAGGGUUGCUAAUUAUCCCUCACGGUUCCAACUAGGAAUGCCUUGUACGGGCCUCUGGUUCAACAGACCGCCCGGAAUACGUCCCUGCCCUUUGUACACACCGCCCGUCGCUCCUACCGAUGGACUCUGCUGUGAGUCUAUGGGACCCGUCUUUCAAUUUUAGAAGGAUUAGGAACAUAGACGAACAGUGAGGUCUAAAGGAAAGAGAAGUCG
Molecule: ribosomal RNA, 873 nt
Filed under: Foraminifera sp.
Lineage: Eukaryota; Foraminifera
Description: SSU rRNA
Rfam family: Eukaryotic small subunit ribosomal RNA
Source: RNAcentral